GAUGAACGCUGGCGGCGUGCCUAAUACAUGCAAGUCGAGCGAACAGACGAGGAGCUUGCUCCUCUGACGUUAGCGGCGGACGGGUGAGUAACACGUGGAUAACCUACCUAUAAGACUGGGAUAACUUCGUGAAACCGGAGCUAAUACCGGAUAAUAUAUUGAACCGCAUGGUUCAAUAGUGAAAGACGGUUUUGCUGUCACUUAUAGAUGUAUCCGCGGCGCAUUAGAUAGUUGGUAAUGUAACGGCUUACCAAGGCAACGAUGCGUAGCCGACCUGAGAGGGUGAUCGGCCCCACUGGAACUGAGACACGAUCCAGACUACUAAGGGAGGCAGCAGUAGCAAAUCUACAGCAAUGGGCGAAAGCCUGACGGAGCAACACCACGUGAGUGAUAAAGGUCUUCGGAUCGUAAAACUCUGUAAUUAGGGAAGAACACAUGUGUAAGUAACUAUGCACAUCUUGACGGUACCUAAUAAGAAAGCCACGGCUAACUACGUG
Molecule: ribosomal RNA, 497 nt
Filed under: uncultured bacterium
Lineage: Bacteria
Description: partial 16S ribosomal RNA
Rfam family: Bacterial small subunit ribosomal RNA
Source: RNAcentral